GGGAGUCGCAGGCGAGGGGGAUGCUGAACCGCAAGCAUCUGAGCAAUCUAUUGCACAGAUUGAUCCGAAAACACCAGGCUGGACUUGCAGGGUUAGAAUUGGAGCCGAUGCCCCAGGAAGGGCACCUUGCCCUGGGCGAACAAGCGCCCUUGAAAAGGCAACACGGGGUGCGCUGAUCAACCUGGGAACAUUGUAAUUGUUCCAGCACUUGGUACAAGCUUCGAUACCCUCGGGGAGGCAUAUGAUUUCUACAAUCUCUACUCGUGGGAGAAGGGUUUAGGAAUAAGGGUAAAGCUGGGGUGGAGAACACUAGAUCGUGUCGGUGCGAGUGUCCUACAUUAACAAGACGCCUCCGAUCGAAGGACAAUGGAUGGUACAUAGGGGAGCAUCUGAACAUCUCAAUCAUUCAUUGUCUCCAACGUAUGGUCAGACAAUACACUGGCUCAGCAUAUUGAUGCCAACAGCAGAGACUUGGUGGAGCAUUUGCUACAGAACAAUGUGAACGUGGCAAAAGUACACAACAUCAUUGGGAGUUUUUUUUGGCUCAAUGGAAAAGGUACCUUUCACAAAAAGAGCUCUCAAGAAUUUGUGUGGUAAAAUCAGCAGAGAGCAGGCAGAGGAUGAUGUUAGGAAAACUAUGGAGGUUUUCGCAGAUCCGGCUUCAAGAGAUUCGCAUUUCACUUACCGAGUCCAGGCAGGCAAAGAUGGUCGGAUAACCACUCUUAUGUGGGCAAAUGGGAGAAGUAGGUUGCAGUACACAUUCUUCAGAGACAUUGGUUGACAAAUAUAAUUUAAAGAUGCAUGACUACAUGACCCAACUUUAUGAAAUAAGACACAAGUGGGAACAGACCCAAUGGACUGUUGGCGCCAAAGAAGCGGAAAGAAAUAGGACGACCAACAGCUAGCAGAGAGAAGGCUCCGUACGAGGAGCUGAGCAAACGAACGCGGUUCUGCACCAUAUGUCGCGGGCAGGGGCACAAGAGGACAACAUGUCCGGAGCGAGGUGAUACCCCGAAACCUGUUCACAAACCGGCAAGGUGCAAAAAUUGUGGAAUUGAAGGUCAUGGGCAAAACAACUGCCACAAAGUGGGUGAUCUGCGGUUGACUGGCAUGUGAACAAUGGCUGGAACCUAUCGGUUGAGACUGUAAAACUGUAGAACUGAAAUCUGUAGAACUUAGGUAGUUCCGUCAGUAGAAGUGCUUCUUGUUUCAUGGUUGCUGAGUUUAUGGAUGGCAAAAUAAAUAAAU
Molecule: long non-coding RNA, 1248 nt
Organism: Triticum dicoccoides
Lineage: Eukaryota; Viridiplantae; Streptophyta; Magnoliopsida; Poales; Poaceae
Exons: 3
Source: RefSeq, a predicted model, not a curated record